CUCCAUCGCUCCAACUAUCUGGCUGCACUGCACUGACUUGUCCUUCACUCAACCACCCCCCACUAGUAGACGCUCCCUCACAACUCAAAAACCUGGCUGUGCCAACCAUCCCAAGGUUUGGAAACAGGCCGGCAGAGCCUCCCUUUGACCCCCAACAGAGAGGAGGACGUGACAGAAAGAGAGGCCAUAAGACAGACCGAGAUGCAAGAAUGAGCCCGAGAAAAGAGAAAAGCAGGAAGAAGAAAGUGAAGGAGUAAUAAGUAUUAAUUUUGAUUGAUUUUAAUGCUGACAAAUAACAAAUAACAAGUGUGAUGAUUAUAUGCUUAUUGCAAAGUGUGAUUUAACUAAUGAACUGUGAUAAUGUGCUUUAAUGUAAGAUGGUGAUUUAAGAAAAGUGCUAUUGUAUGUCUUAAAAUGAAAGGGUGUGUGUGUGCUACAUUUGGAUGGUAAAAAGGACAGACUGUACUUCUGCAAAACAGAAGAACAAUAGAAAAAGGAGAAGUGGGUUUUUGUCUGGAAAGUUCCAGAGGUCCUGUGGUGGAAACAAGGCGGUUUACCUCACCACGGAAAGUCCGUGAAAGUCCUAUUACAAGAAUCGGCAAAAUUACUUCACUCUGGAAARUACACAAAAAGUCCAGUGGUGGAAAACCCCAGCCUAUCACAGGAUGGCAGGAAGGGGGUGAGAUGGCCCAAAAACAGUAUAAAAAGGGAGCAGUUUCAGCAGUAAGUCAUCUUCUGGCCCCGUCUGGAGAACACGCAGCAAAGGCAAGGACAGCCUAAGAAGAGGAUCACCAGAUCCAAGAGACAUCUCAGCUGGGAUAAGCUGCCCCACUGCUCUCCAGCAACCUACAGGCCAAGGACCAGAUUAAACAACCCAGCGUUGAGAAGUUCUCUCUGGCAACAGUCUGCUGCUUUUCAUGGAGGUAAAAACAACUCGACUCCAAAUUCCUUGCCAUCCAAAUUGACAGAAAAUGCCACACAGCCUAGUCACAAGGUUAGGUCAGCGCCUUAGAUCUUUUUAUUUUUAUCACCAUCAAUUAUUAUUCAAUAUUUUAAUCCGUACAAUCAAAUGUGGCUUUUCUUGCUAAUUUCUAUUAAAUUGCUUACAGCAUCAUAAAGA
Molecule: long non-coding RNA, 1120 nt
Organism: Austrofundulus limnaeus
Lineage: Eukaryota; Metazoa; Chordata; Actinopteri; Cyprinodontiformes; Rivulidae
Exons: 2
Source: RefSeq, a predicted model, not a curated record